This 1534-nucleotide long non-coding RNA is filed under the name Phoenix dactylifera (date palm). RNAcentral describes it as "long non-coding RNA (PDAC_LNC003005)". Lineage: Eukaryota; Viridiplantae; Streptophyta; Magnoliopsida; Arecales; Arecaceae. The record is from RNAcentral.
UAAUACUCAACAGGAAUGUCCAAAGAAAAGGAAGCUAGUUGAUUGCAAAACAGAAAUAUAAUGGAGUAGCAAAUCAUCUGCUCAACUGUUCAAGGAUCACAAAAGCAUACCCCUACAAACCUACAGCAAUAUCUUAAUAAAAAUCACAAGAAACCUCCAAUCCUUCAUGAGUAUAAUUUAAGAUGUGCAUACCAAUCUGCAAAAUCAAAAUUGUUUUGGCAACUACUUAGAUUUAAAGCAUUCAAGCUGUAUAUUAGCAAAAGCAUGCAUACGGUGGUCAACAGUGUCAAUAUGUGAAGUUCACGAUUUAUAUGCUAAAAAAUGUUGGUGUUUGUCUAGAAGAUAUGCUGUGGAGUAACCAAAAAAAGAUAGGAGAAGAGGAAACAAUUUGAGGCAAGUUUUCUUUUCCCCAGUGUCUACCUUGGGUUAAGUUUUAGCAUACACACAUCAUGGCCUCCAGAUACUAAAUCUCAGGAUAAUAAUCACAUAGCCAUGAAAUCAACGAAUUACCACAGCAAUCCUGGAAACAAAACCAACAACAACAGAUAGAUACAACCAAUAGAUAAAAACCUCCAGAUUAAUCAUCAUAGGUUAAAAAACCCAACAAAUAGAGCAAUCACUAGAAUAGAAAGACCAACUGCACUCAAUUCCCAAUCACAAGGAAUGUAAAUGAUAUCAAAAUAAACAUACAAAUGAGGCAACAAACAAGUAAUUUAACCCUAGAAGGUAUGCCGUACCGGCCCAAACCAGGCAGUACGGGACAUACUGCACCGUACCGGUUCGGUACUUGUACCCGGUAUGGGUGGUGUACGGAGUGUUACCUUACUAUACUAAUACCGUGCUAGUGUGGCACCGGUAUGAGGUCCGCUACUGAGACGGCGAACCUUGCAUUGAAGGAUCAUAAAAGAUUGAAAUCAAGAAUCCCAACAGUAACUUCAGCAUGUACACUAAAACCCUCAUAAUAAUCAUCACGGGGCCAUAAAGAUAAAUGAUUCAAUACAAUAGUACACACAAAAUAACACCAACAACAUGUAGAUCCACCUGAAACAGCAAACCAACUAUUCAAAAUUUCAAACCUUCAUAGCAAGUUAGUAGCAAAAUUACAAAACCCAACACAUGGACCAAUCCUAGCAAUAAAAGAACAUAUUUCUCAAGGAUAACAUCCAAUCACAAGCAACCAAAUUCAUAUGGCAAAAGAGAAAUACAAUGGGUCAUUUAAUGGUUGAGUGCAUUGGAGGCCCGCAGGGGUCACAUGCAUUAAUGAUAGGGCGUGCCGAAAGCCCGCGGAGGUCACGUGCCUUAAUGGCUUGAUGACGGCAACAGAGUACGAUGGAGUCAGGUAUCUAGUUGUCAGAUUCUCUAAGGGAUUAGGCUGGGGUCGAAUAUUUGGACAAGGCAUGGGCUCGGCACCUGGUCGGGUGCCGAGCCGAGCCAGUUGCUCAGCGGAGUGCCUCCAGUUUGAGCGUUGUGGGGUCGGGCGCCUUUAUGGUCGGCGCCUUCCUGGUCGGGCGCCUUUAUGGUCGGCGCCUUCCUG